This is a long non-coding RNA of Solanum stenotomum, 297 nucleotides long. RefSeq lists it as uncharacterized. The record is from RefSeq and is a predicted model, not a curated record. The transcript is spliced from 2 exons. NCBI's taxonomy places the organism in Eukaryota, Viridiplantae, Streptophyta, Magnoliopsida, Solanales, Solanaceae.
GUUGAAAAUUGUUACCAUGUGUUUUAAUGGUAAGGCCUCUGUGUUCUCUGUAUUUGGUGGUAAACCAUGUUCGCUACUAUUAUAAGGAAGUGAAACUAAUGAAAUGUUAUUUGAAUUAGUUGAAUCUUUGGCUAUAGUGGAACUAAGAUAUUUGACAUUUAAAGGGGUACUAACAAUAGUGAUUUUGUAGUUAGUUUUUUCUUGAAUUUUUUUGGCUAAGGCUAUGAAAGGUAUCAUAUGGCCAAGUGCUAGAAAUGGAAGGAUUACUAUAUGUUCUUGAUGGCCACUCAUUUUAUU